UCCCUUCCAUACAAAACGUGGAAAGUAUUCAACAAUAGUCAAUUUCAAAGCAUGCAAUCAAAACUUGUAUAUGUAUGAGCUGAGGUAAAAGAAGAAAAAGAAACGGUACAAUUUAUGGGAAGAAUAGGCUUUCAUUGAUCUACAAUUAAUAUUCGGAAAAUGCCCACGAAGGUUACAAUUGCCUGACAUGGACUAUUAGGUCCAUAAGUAAUUAGUUAGGCUUACGAACAUUGGUUUUAUAGAGUUGGUCGCCGUUUAAUUGAUAACCAAGAUCAUCAUCAAACGGAAGGAUACUUACAGAUGAACCCUUCAUACGUUGCAACGGUGGAAGCUUUACGGCAGAUAUAUAUUCUGGGUGAAAUUGCUAAGGAGCGCGGAGAAAGCGAAAAGUAUACGAAUAUAAUGCAACAGAUUGCUAGAAAUGAACUUGUUAGGCUAAACUAUGGUUAUGUCCUUGAUUUCCCUAGAAAUAACGAGGACAUCUUUUACCAGCCUAUUCAACAAGUUCGAGGCCCGGACAACAGACGGGAUGUAAACAGACGUGGUCCUCUAGCUCAGGGUGGUCAUCGGCAUCGACAGGAUCAUCGUUCCCUUUUGUGACCACGUCGCUAGUAUAACUAGAAGGGCAUUGUUGCCAUUUUCCCAUAUAUAACCGCGUCUUUCUUCUCUGUGUUUUCAGUAUAAGAGUUUGUUGUUUUCCUUCUUCUAUCAAGUUUUUACGUUUUGUUAUCCAUUCAUCCUGUACUCACUGUGUUCAUCAAUGAAGUCUUCCA
Long non-coding RNA from Ipomoea nil (Japanese morning glory), 773 nucleotides. RefSeq lists it as uncharacterized. The transcript is spliced from 3 exons. NCBI's taxonomy places the organism in Eukaryota, Viridiplantae, Streptophyta, Magnoliopsida, Solanales, Convolvulaceae. The record is from RefSeq and is a predicted model, not a curated record.